GACGAACGCUGGCGGCGUGCUUAACACAUGCAAGUCGAACGGAAAGGCCCUGCUUUUGUGGGGUGCUCGAGUGGCGAACGGGUGAGUAACACGUGAGUAACCUGCCCUUGACUUUGGGAUAACUUCAGGAAACUGGGGCUAAUACCGGAUAGGAGCUCCUGCUGCAUGGUGGGGGUUGGAAAGUUUCGGCGGUUGGGGAUGGACUCGCGGCUUAUCAGCUUGUUGGUGGGGUAGUGGCUUACCAAGGCUUUGACGGGUAGCCGGCCUGAGAGGGUGACCGGCCACAUUGGGACUGCGAUACGGCCCAGACUCCUACGGGAGGCAGCAGUCGGGAAUAUUGCACAAUGGGCGCACGCCUGAUGCAGCAACGCCGCGUGCGGGAUGACGGCCUUCGGGUUGUAAACCGCUUUCGCCUGUGACGAAGCGUGAGUGACGGUAAUGGGUAAAGAAGCACCGGCUAACUACGUG
This 468-nucleotide ribosomal RNA is filed under the name uncultured bacterium. RNAcentral describes it as "partial 16S ribosomal RNA". It matches the Rfam family "Bacterial small subunit ribosomal RNA", at positions 28 to 507 of the family's 1533-position model. The record is from RNAcentral.